CAACAGGGAUUGCCUUAGUAGCGGCGAGUGAAGCGGCAAAAGCUCAAAUUUGAAAUCUGGCUCUUUCAGAGUCCGAGUUGUAAUUUGAAGAAGGUAUCUUUGGGUCUGGCUCUUGUCUAUGUUUCUUGGAACAGAACGUCACAGAGGGUGAGAAUCCCGUGCGAUGAGAUGAUCCAGGCCUAUGUAAAGUUCCUUCGAAGAGUCGAGUUGUUUGGGAAUGCAGCUCUAAGUGGGUGGUAAAUUCCAUCUAAAGCUAAAUAUUGGCGAGAGACCGAUAGCGAACAAGUACAGUGAUGGAAAGAUGAAAAGAACUUUGAAAAGAGAGUGAAAAAGUACGUGAAAUUGUUGAAAGGGAAGGGCUUGAGAUCAGACUUGGUAUUUUGUAUGUUACUUCUUCGGGGGUGGCCUCUACAGUUUAUCGGGCCAGCAUCAGUUUGGGCGGUAGGAGAAUUGCGUUGGAAUGUGGCACGGCUUCGGUUGUGUGUUAUAGCCUUCGUCGAUACUGCCAGCCUAGACUGAGGACUGCGGUUUAUACCUAGGAUGUUGGCAUAAUGAUCUUA
RNAcentral lists this ribosomal RNA (560 nucleotides) under Candida tropicalis. Its description in RNAcentral is "partial 26S ribosomal RNA". It matches the Rfam family "Eukaryotic large subunit ribosomal RNA", at positions 66 to 642 of the family's 3401-position model. The record is from RNAcentral. Lineage: Eukaryota; Fungi; Ascomycota; Pichiomycetes; Serinales; Debaryomycetaceae.